Molecule: ribosomal RNA, 500 nt
Filed under: uncultured bacterium
Lineage: Bacteria
Description: partial 16S ribosomal RNA
Rfam family: Bacterial small subunit ribosomal RNA
Source: RNAcentral
AUUGAACGCUGGCGGCAUGCCUUACACAUGCAAGUCGAACGGCAGCGCGGGAGCAAUCCUGGCGGCGAGUGGCGAACGGGUGAGUAAUAUAUCGGAACGUGCCCACUAGUGGGGGAUAGCCCGGCGAAAGCCGGAGUAAUACCGCAUACGACCUGAGGGUGAAAGCGGGGGAUCGCAAGACCUCGCUCUAUUGUAGCGGCCGAUAUCAGAUGAGCUAGUUGGUGGGGUAAAGGCCUACCAAGGCAACGAUCUGUAGUUGGUCUGAGAGGACGACCAGCCACACUGGGACUGAGACACGGCCCCGACUCCUACGGGGGGCAGCAGUGGGGAAUUUUGGACAAUGGGCGCAAGCCUGAUCCAGCAAUGCCGCGUGCAGGAAGAAGGCCUUCGGGUUGUAAACUGCUUUUGUCAGGGAAGAAAUCCUUUGGGCUAAUACCUCGGAGGGAUGACGGUACCUGAAGAAUAAGCACCGGCUAACUACGUGCCAGCCGCCGCCGUAA